UUGGAGGGCAAGUCUGGUGCCAGCAGCCGCGGUAAUUCCAGCUCCAAUAGCGUAUAUUAAAGUUGUUGCAGUUAAAAAGCUCGUAGUUGAACUUCGGGGUCUACCCAUUGGUCAGGCUUAAUUGUCUGUACUGGUGAGAUGGAUCUCUACCUUCUGAGGAACUUUCAUGUCAUUUAUUUGGUGUGAUGGGAAAUCAGGACUGUUACUUUGAAAAAUUAGAGUGUUUAAAGCAGACUAUCGUCUGAAUACAUUAGCAUGGAAUAAUGAAAUAGGACGGACUGAUUCUAUUUCGUUGGUUUCUAGGAUCACCGUAAUGAUUAAUAGGGAUAGUUGGGGGCAUUAGUAUUCAAUUGUCAGAGGUGAAAUUCUUGGAUUUAUUGAAGACUAACUACUGCGAAAGCAUUUGCCAAGGAUGUUUUCAUUAAUCAAGAACGAAAGUUAGGGGAUCGAAGACGAUCAGAUACCGUCGUAGUCUUAACCAUAAACUAUGCCGACUAGGGAUCGGAUGAUGUUAAUUUUUUAAUGACUCAUUCGGCGCCUUACGGGAAAC
RNAcentral lists this ribosomal RNA (550 nucleotides) under uncultured Diversisporaceae. Its description in RNAcentral is "SSU rRNA". It matches the Rfam family "Eukaryotic small subunit ribosomal RNA", at positions 548 to 1098 of the family's 1831-position model. Lineage: Eukaryota; Fungi; Glomeromycota; Glomeromycetes; Diversisporales. The record is from RNAcentral.